This 459-nucleotide ribosomal RNA is filed under the name uncultured bacterium. RNAcentral's name for it is "partial 16S ribosomal RNA". It matches the Rfam family "Bacterial small subunit ribosomal RNA", at positions 338 to 795 of the family's 1533-position model. The record is from RNAcentral.
CCUACGGGAGGCAGCAGUGAGGAAUAUUGGUCAAUGGGCGGAAGCCUGAACCAGCCAAGUAGCGUGCGGGAUGAAGGCCCUACGGGUCGUAAACCGCUUUUGCACGGGGAUAACACCCUCCACUUGUGGAGGUCUGCAGGUACCGUGCGAAUAAGGGCAGGCUAAUUCCGUGCCAGCAGCCGCGGUAAUUCGGAAGGCCCGAGCGUUAUCCGGGUUCAUUGGGUUUAAAGGGAGCGUAGGUGGGCGUUCAAGUCAGCGGUAAAAUCGCGCGGCGCAACCGCGCCCCGCAGUUGAAACUGGACGACUUGAGUGCACAACAGGCAGGCGGAAGUCGUGGUGUAGCGGUGAAAUGCAUAGAUAUCACGAGGAACCCCGAUUGCGAAGGCAGCCUGCCGGGGUGCGACUGACGCUGAGGCUCGAAGGUGCGGGUAUCAAACAGGAUUAGAUACCCCAGUAGUC